This 216-nucleotide ribosomal RNA is filed under the name Glomeromycotina sp. Its description in RNAcentral is "partial small subunit ribosomal RNA". The stretch from base 44 to 216 matches the Rfam family "Eukaryotic small subunit ribosomal RNA", at positions 690 to 864 of the family's 1831-position model. The record is from RNAcentral. Lineage: Eukaryota; Fungi; Glomeromycota.
GGGUCAGUAGGUUGGUCGUGCCACCGGUCCGUACUGGUCGCACUGAUUCCUCCAUCCUGAAGAACCGUAAUGCCAUUAAUUUGGUGUUGCGGGGAAACAGGACUGUUACUUUGAAAAAAUUAGAGUGUUUAAAGCAAGCUAACGCUUGAAUACAUUAGCAUGGAAUAAUGAAAUAGGACGAUCGAUCCUAUUUUGUUGGUUUCUAGGAUUGACGUA